Molecule: RNA transcript, 2919 nt
Organism: Zingiber officinale
Lineage: Eukaryota; Viridiplantae; Streptophyta; Magnoliopsida; Zingiberales; Zingiberaceae
Exons: 5
Source: RefSeq, a predicted model, not a curated record
UUGUGAAACUGUGCAAUACCAAAGCAAAGCAUGGAAUGAGUGAUGCUCUAUUUUCAGAUCUACUAUUAGAUUUUGGGGAUAUGCUGCCAAUUAAUCACAAUCUACCAUCUUCAAUGUAUGAGGAAGCAAUAUAAAAACUGUGAAAGCUGCCCUAAAUGUGGUUUGUCACGAUGGAAGCUAACGAAAAACAAGGUUGAGAAGAAAGGUGUUCCUGCUAAGGUGGUUUGGUAUUUCCCUCCCAUUCCAAGAUUUAAGCGCAUGUUUAAAUCUUUAGAGACCUCAAGAAAUUUAACAUGGCAUGCAGAUUCUACAAGAAUUGUUGGUCAGUUACGUCAUCCAGUUGAUUCACCAUCAUGGAAGUUGGUAGAUCAUAUGUGGCCCGACUUUGAAAGUGAGCCAAGAAAUCUUCGCCUAGCACUUGCAGCUGAUGGCAUUAAUCCUCAUAGCAACCUUAGUAGUCGGUACAGCUGUUGGCCAAUCAUGUUGGUCAACUAUAAUUUACCUCCAAAUAUGUGUAUGAAAAGGAAAUACAUCAUGCUAACUAUGCUCAUUUCAGGGCCUAAGCAGCCUGGAAACGAUAUUGAUGUCUAUCUGGAGGUGUUAGUUGAAGAUUUGCAACAAUUGUGGGAAGGAGUUGAUGGAGUCUACGAUGCUUAUCGAAGGCAGUUCUUCACUCUUAAAGCAGUCUUAUUAUGGACCAUCAAUGACUUUCCUGCCUAUGGUAACCUUAGUGGAUGUACUACACAUGGUUAUUAUGCAUGUCCAAUAUGCGGAGAAGAUACUUAUGCAAGUCACUUGGAAAAUGGGAAGAAAAUGUCAUUUGCUGGCCAUAGACGAUUCCUAUCACGGUUUCAUCCCUAUCGUAGGCAAAUGAAGGAGUUUAAUGGCGUGGAGGAACUUGGAGAAGCAGCUAAACCAUUAUCUGAGAUUAAGUUGUUUGACAAACUUUCUGACAUAAGAUGUGAGUUUGGAAAGAGGAUAAGUGUGAGAGGGAAAAAAAAGAAUGCAAAGGCUAAUAUAUUGGAAGUCAAUAUAGAAGAAAAAGAUUUAGGAGCAACAAUUUUCAGAAAAUGUUGGAAGAAGAAGUCAAUCUUUUUUAAUAUUCCUUACUGGAAACACCUGCAUGUAAGGCAUUGUCUCGAUGUUAUGCACAUCGAGAAAAAUGUCUUUGAAUCCCUCAUUAAUACUUUGAUGAAUGUUAAAGGAAAAACCAAGGAUAAUGUGGCAGCUAGGUUGGACAUGGUUGAGAUGGGAAUUAGGCCUGAAUUAACACCUAUAUUUGGGGAGAAGAGAACAUAUCUUCCUCUUGCUGCGUGCUCAUUCACAAAAAAAAGAAAAGUUACAGGUGUGCAAGUCAUUAAAGUAUAUAAAAGUUCCAGAAGGGUUCUCUUCGAAUAUGAAUAACAUUGUGUGCAUGGAUCAGUUGAAGUUGACUUGCUUGAAAUCCCAUGAUUGUCAUGUUUUAAUGCAGCAUUUCUUGCCAAUAGUUAUACGUGAUGCGCUGCCAAAACAUGUUAGAUAUGCUAUCAUAAGAUUAUGCUUCUUCUUCAAAGAUAUUUGUUGCAAAGUUAUAGAUGUAGCCAAGUUAGAUAAGCUGCAAUCUGACUUGGUUGUUACACUCUGCUUAUUGGAGCAAUAUUUUCCCCCAUCUUUCUUCGAUAUCAUGCUUCACUUAACUGUCCAUCUCGUUCGAGAAGUCCGAUUAUGUGGGCCAGUUUACUUCAGAUGGAUGUAUCCAUUUGAAAGAUACAUGAAGGUGCUUAAGAGUUAUGUAGGCAGUCGAAAACAUCCUGAAGGUUGCAUUGUUCAAAGAUAUUUAGCAGAAGAAGCAAUUGAGUUUUGUUCAGAAUACCUCAAUGACGUUGAUCCUAUUGGAGUUCCUCAAUCAAUUCGAGACCCAAAAGCAAAUGUUUCUGGCUUGCAAGCAUGCAACACACCAAUUAUAGUGCAACAAGUUGAUCUGCAACAAGCACAUUUGACUGUGCUAAAAAAUAUGGAGGAAGUAUCUCCCUAUAUAAUUGAGCAUAAAACCUUUUUGAAAUCAAUGUUUCCCAAAAAAGAGAAAGAUGAAAGGUGGAUACAAGAUGCUCACAACAAGAGGUUUAUUGAUUGGUUUCGUACAAAGGUGGCUGCUGAAAUUGACAGUUGCAAUGGUGGAACAACAUCGACAUUAACAUGGUUGGCCCAUGGACCUCGUGCACAAAUUAUUAAGUACAAUAGUUAUGUGAUAAAUGGCAAUUUAUACCAAACAAAAGCGCGGGAUGAUGACAGAGUUUGCCAAAACAGUGGGGUUUCUUUAGUUGCCAACACCAUGCUUGUAUGCAGUGCUAAAGAUAAGAAUCCCUUGCUAGCUGAUGUGUCUUUCUAUGGAGUGAUUGAAGAAAUAUGGGAAUUAGACUAUCAUCAAUUUCACGUUCCUCUUUUCAAAUGCGCUUGGGUUGCAAAUGACAAAGGAAUAAUCAACAACGAUGAAUGUGGCUUCACCUUAGUCAACUUGAACAAACGAGGACACAAGAAUGACGAAUUUGUGCUUGCAAGUCAAGUCAACCAAGUCUUUUAUAUUGAUGAUCCAUUACAAAAGGGGUGGUCAAUUGUGCUCCCAGUUCCAAAUAGAUGUUAUGAGGGAGAUGAUGAUGAUUGGAGCAGUAUUCCUGAUUCUAGACCAAUUGAUGAUAUUGAUACUCAUUGCAUUCCUACUAAAGAAAGAUAUUUUAGAUCGGAAAUUGAGACAAUACUAGAUGGGUCGUAAAAAACAAGGAGUAGCAGUUGAGGAUAUACAUGGAAUAGUCGAUGCUGAGCUACAUGGAGUAGCCGAUGCAGAGCUACAUGAAGUUACUGAUAGAGAAGAACGUUCUGUAGAUGUGCAGAAGAACAAACGAGGUCCUACAUCAAUGUGUAAACUCACUGCAGCUGCAAGAU